Molecule: long non-coding RNA, 1646 nt
Filed under: Helianthus annuus (common sunflower)
Lineage: Eukaryota; Viridiplantae; Streptophyta; Magnoliopsida; Asterales; Asteraceae
Description: hypothetical non coding rna
Source: RNAcentral
UGGGGGAACGGACAUCCAGCCACCACGUCUCCAUCUUUCUGCCCGGCAACAACCGAAGGUGCAGGUGGGUUGGGGUUGGAGUCCGACAGGACGUUUCAGAUAUUGAGACGGACAGACGGUCAAGUUUUUGAGAAGCGGAAACAGUUAGCAAUGUGAUACGAGGAGGAAUGUGGAGCGAGAUGGAAGUGCGGCGGAGGAUGACAGAUGCUUGGUAAUGCGAUGAUUUGGUGAACAGAGAACCUGGGCUUGGCGAUGUCUCACCCUGGAGGUGGGCUGUGCCUUUUAGUCACCACUGGUCCACUGUUGUCGCCGAUCGUGAUGAAGACGAGUGGAGGAGUCCAUUGCCGUCGCCGGUAGCCGUCUGACGAUUGUUGAUCUCGCCUGAGAACCAUAAGCUUCUAAUCUUUCUGUCUCCGGUGGGAUAAGGACAAGAUGAUGGGUUAAUGUGUCAAUUUAAGACAGAUUAAUAACCUGACAUUGGUACGAUGCUUAAAAAGACACAGGAGGCAUUACAACUUUAACUUGGGUAUAGCCAUAUAGUUCUUGGCUCAUAGCGGCUAGAGAGAGAGAAAGAGCAGAAAGUUCCCGUCGCCGACGUUAUGUUGGUCCGUAGGCUAGAGAGCCACCGUCACCGGCGGUGUUUGUCAGUCCAAGGGUUCCUAUGGCGUUCUCUAGUGGCAUAGCAACUGGAUUUUAGGGCACCGUUCGUCGGAGCUCAAGAUCAUCGCAUGCCUUCUGGAUUUUGGGGGUUUUCACUGUGGCCAGAAUGGUUGGUUGUUGCCGGCGUCGUUCAAGGGCACUUAUGGUGUCGAUGAUGGCUAGGGUUUCCUAUGCUGAGACUCUAACCGACUUUAAUGGGUGGUGAUUGCUUUUAUCUAUGAUUAUCAAUGACUAUGGGUGUCUUCAUCUGAGAUGUUCUUGAUUUGAAUUUUGAAACCGUAAUGAUGAUUGCGCGGGUGUAAACCGAGAUGAGGAUUUAACCAUGGCGUGGCGUGGCAUGUUUGAGAGAUGGUAGAUAUUCAUUUGUAACCUCCAAUGCAGCCACAAUUAUCUCCUUCGUUUACACCCUCUGAGUCUAUCCAUUGGGCUGUAUUGAUGGUUGUACCCAUUGCUUAAAGUUUUGUUUAUGGACCACUUGACUCUUUAAUUGAAGAGAGCUUAUGUUCUUCUGGUAAUGAUGGUGUUGAGUGGUUAUGGACUAAGCACGGCGUCAGAGAGGGUUUUCGGCCGAGUUGAACUUCCGGCGACCAAACCUAGGGUUCCGGCAAAGUUCCGAUGAACCUCCACCAACCGGCGAACUUCCACUUCUUCGCGAACGGAAUGCAUCUGGUGAUUUGGGCUACCGAGCGCUUUCUACGGUCGCGGGCGGUGGGGUGACCUUUGGCCAUUGGGUUAACCAGAUGUAUAUGAAGGGGUAUGUCUUGAUGGUUUAUAGUGAUUACUUGAAGAAAAUGGUCGAGUAACACUCUGCCUUUACAGUCUGUUGUGUUUCAUCGGAGCAACAAAUCGUAGUACCCGCCGCAACGCCGCGGGGUGCUAUUUCUAGUUUGAUUAAAUUAAAGUAUGUAUAAAGAAAAGAAGAAUAUUCCACCCAAGUUGCAAUGGGUUAUUCUUAGAAGUCUCGAAAUAAUAUAUAACCUUUCUUU